This 245-nucleotide ribosomal RNA is filed under the name uncultured bacterium. Its description in RNAcentral is "partial small subunit ribosomal RNA". It matches the Rfam family "Bacterial small subunit ribosomal RNA", at positions 26 to 285 of the family's 1533-position model. The record is from RNAcentral.
AGAAUCAACGCUGGCGGCGUGCCUAACACAUGCAAGUCGAACGAGAAAGUGGAGCAAUCCAUGAGUAAAGUGGCGCACGGGUGAGUAACACGUGACUAACCUACCCUUGAGUGGGGAAUAACUUCGGGAAACCGAGGCUAAUACCGCAUAACACCUACGGGUCAAAGGAGCAAUUCGCUUAAGGAGGGGGUCGCGGCAGAUUAGUUAGUUGGCGGGGUAAUGGCCCACCAAGACGAUGAUCGGUA